AAUAUUGGACAAUGGGGGAAACCCUGAUCCAGCCAUGCCGCGCGUGUGAAGAAGGUCUUCGGAUUGUAAUGCACUUUAUUUUGGGAGGAAGGGCGUCAAGCUAAUACCUUGAUGUUUUGAUGUUACCAACAGAAGAAGCACCGGCUAACUCUGCGCCAGCAGCCGCGGUAAUACAGAGGGUGCAAGCGUUAAUGGGAAUUGCUGGGGGUAAAGCGCGGGGAGGUGGUUCAGUAAGAUGGGUGUGAAAUACCCGAGGUUAACCUGGGAACUGCUGUCAUAACUGCUGAGCUAGAGUACGGUAGAGGGUAGUGGAAUUUCCUGUGUAGCGGUGAAAUGCGUAGAUAUAGGAAGGAACACCAGUGGCGAAGGCGACUACCUGGACUGAUACUGACACUGAGGUGCGAAAGCGUGGGGAGCAAACAG
RNAcentral lists this ribosomal RNA (423 nucleotides) under uncultured bacterium. Its description in RNAcentral is "partial 16S ribosomal RNA". It matches the Rfam family "Bacterial small subunit ribosomal RNA", at positions 360 to 775 of the family's 1533-position model. The record is from RNAcentral.